AGGAGGCAGGUAGCCUAGUGGUUAGAGGAGGCAGGUAGCCUAGUGGUUAGAGGAGGCAGGUAGCCUAGUGGUUAGAGGAGGCAGGUAGCCUAGUGGUUAGAGGAGGCAGGUAGCCUGGUGGUUAGAGGAGGCAGGUAGCCUGGUGGUUAGAGGAGGCAGGUAGCCUAGUGGUUAGAGGAGACAGGUAGCCUGGUGGUUAGAGGAGACAGGUAGCCUGGUGGUUAGAGGAGGCAGGUAGCCUGGUGGUUAGAGGAGACAGGUAGCCUGGUGGUUAGAGGAGGCAGGUAGCCUGGUGGUUAGAGGAGGCAGGUAGCCUGGUGGUUAGAGGAGACAGGUAGCCUAGUGGUUAGAGGAGGCAGGUAGCCUAGUGGUUAGAGGAGGCAGGUAGCCUAGUGGUUAGAGGAGGCAGGUAGCCUAGUGGUUAGAGGAGGCAGGUAGCCUAGUGGUUAGAGGAGGCAGGUAGCCUAGUGGUUAGAGGAGGCAGGUAGCCUGGUGGUUAGAGGAGGCAGGUAGCCUAGUGGUUAGAGGAGGCAGGUAGCCUAGUGGUUAGAGGAGGCAGGUAGCCUAGUGGUUAGAGGAGGCAGGUAGCCUAGUGGUUAGAGGAGGCAGGUAGCCUAGUGGUUAGAGGAGGCAGGUAGCCUGGUGGUUAGAGGAGACAGGUAGCCUGGUGGUUAGAGGAGGCAGGUAGCCUGGUGGUUAGAGGAGGCAGGUAGCCUGGUGGUUAGAGGAGGCAGGUAGCCUAGUGGUUAGAGGAGGCAGGUAGCCUAGUGGUUAGAGGAGGCAGGUAGCCUGGUGGUUAGAGGAGGCAGGUAGUCUAGUGGUUAGAGGAGACAGGUAGUCUAGUGGUUAGAGGAGGCAGGUAGCCUGGUGGUUAGAGGAGGCAGGUAGCCUAGUGGUUAGAGGAGGCAGGUAGCCUAGUGGUUAGAGGAGGCAGGUAGCCUGGUGGUUAGAGGAGGCAGGUAGCCUGGUGGUUAGAGGAGGCAGGUAGUCUAGUGGUUAGAGGAGGCAGGUAGCCUGGUGGUUAGAGGAGACAGGUAGCCUGGUGGUUAGAGGAGGCAGGUAGCCUGGUGGUUAGA
Molecule: long non-coding RNA, 1076 nt
Organism: Oncorhynchus keta (chum salmon)
Lineage: Eukaryota; Metazoa; Chordata; Actinopteri; Salmoniformes; Salmonidae
Exons: 4
Source: RefSeq, a predicted model, not a curated record